RNAcentral lists this long non-coding RNA (14606 nucleotides) under Brassica rapa (field mustard). RNAcentral's name for it is "long non-coding RNA (BRAP_LNC004185)". Lineage: Eukaryota; Viridiplantae; Streptophyta; Magnoliopsida; Brassicales; Brassicaceae. The record is from RNAcentral.
CGUUCAUUAUUUCAUUGUUCGGAAAAGAUGUAGUUUUAUUUUGAUCUAAGUUGAAGUUUUAUUAUUCCACACCCAUCAUUACUGAACUUUAGUUUAUACCAUUACUCAGUUUGUGGUACUAGUCUCGCUACUAAUUACAAUUGGACUUCUGACUUUAUACUUAGCAUUAGACCAAGUAAGAGCCCCAAAUACAUCUUUCUUAAGUGAGCCAUCACCAGCAGAGACUGUCACCUGGUAUGUCAACUUCUCACCAUCUUUUGUAAACUGGAGUUUCUCUGGCGUCACCUGAAUACUAAACCCUGGUGGUGUCUCCACGCUGACUGUGUAAACAGCCACACCGUCUCCACCAACAUUAGUCGCUGUCCUGCUCACCGUCUUGUUCUCAUUCCCCUUGUAUCCGGAGAUUCCAAUUGAUGGAUAAUUAACGGUUGAGAUCAAGUCUAGCUUGGAAUCUUCAGGGCAAGUGAAAUUUUCUGGAACAGAUUUUGAUAUGGUCUUGAUUGUGCUUAUGUUGUAUCCAUAGUAACAGAGGAAGUUCAAGUAGUCAACAGCAGUAGUCUUUCGCUUACAUGGAAUGCCUAAAAACCAUUACUAGUGAUCGUGAUCCAACCUUCUUAAGUGACGUUUGGAGAGAGAUGUUUCGAGUCCAUGGCGUUGAUCUUAACUUCUCUACGGCUUAUCACCCUCAAACCGAUGGCCAAACGGAAGUUACUAACAAAACUCUGGAGACAUACCUGCGUUGUAUGGUUUCCGACUCGCCUCACUCUUGGAGCUCCUGGCUUUCACUCGCAGAAUGGUGGUAUAACACUACAUAUCACUCUGCCAUCCAUAGUACACCGUUCGAAAUCAUUUACGGUCAACCACUCCCAACUCACAUGCCUUACCUUCCAGGAGAAAGUUCUUCACCAGCCAUUGACAGGACACUUCAGAAACGCGAAGCCCUCAUCGAUAUGAUGAAAUUCCAUCUCUUACGUGCUCAGAAUCGGAUGAAACAGUAUGCCGACUCUCGACGUUCUGAUCGCGAAUUCACAGUUGGCGACUACGUAUACUUAAAGCUUCAGCCUUAUCGCCAACAUUCACUCGAAGGUCGACACAUGCCUCAUAAGCUUUCACCUCGCUACUACGGACCUUUUCGCAUUCAAGAUUGUGUUGGCUCGCCCGCUUACAAGCUUGAGCUAUCUCCGACUUCUGCAAUCCACAAUGUGUUUCACGUGAGUCAACUCAAGCUCUGUCCCAACCCGCCAAGUUCGAUUCCUACGCUGCCACAGUACCUAAAUGAUGUGGGAUCAAGAAAAGAACCUGAGCUUAUUUUGGAAAAGAAAAUGGUUAAUCGGCAGAACAAACCAGUAACUAAAAUACUCGUUCAAUGGAAAGGUUCUACACCUCAACAAGCGACAUGGGAAUUUUAUCAAGACUUCAUUGCCAAAUUUCCAGACUUUCAUCCUUGAGGCCAAGAAUGCUCUGAAGGAGGGAGUAUUGUGACAGGAUCACGUCGGUUCCGUAAUCUUAUUUCCUUAUUUCUGGUUUUUCCAUUUAACUAACAUAUGGCUUUAUCGUUAAUUUUCCUUUUCCUAAUAGCUAAACCGCCUCUUUGGUUUGCUAUAUAUAUAUAUAUAUAUAUAUGUAGCCUUAGGGCAUGAUUUAUAUCAUACAAUCAAUAAACUACUUUUUCUCAUCUUACUUAUAUCAUACGAACGUAAGGUUUCUAAGAAGAUCAAACAGGGAGAGACUUGAAGAUAAAUCAAACGGUGUUGGUGCAGUAGAGGCGGCGAUGUUGUCUUUGUCCGUUGAAGAUGAAUCGAAAGGGAAGGAAACUGAAAAGGCGAUAUUGUCUUUGUCCGAAGCUGCCGAAAAGAUCGAUCCCUCAGAUUUUGCAGCUUUCAUGGGCAAAGUAAGGGUAAGUGAAGUGAAUGCAUUUGUUUAAUCCCUCAGACAAAAUCGAAUUUCAAUUUUUGGUCUUUUUGUUUGUUAACAGGCUGUGCCAGAGACUGACUUAGAGCAUCUCCAAAAAGGAACUCUAUUUUGAAGUUUCCGAAACUUUAUAUAUGAAGUUUCAAUGUGUUCUUCUCCAAAAGUAAAACUUCAAACCUAACUUUAAAAUUAUUUAUAUUUUACACUAUGGUCCUUAUAUUUGUCAUAGUUGGUGUAAAUUCAUAAAACUUCUAUAAAUAACUAAUACAUAUAUAUAAAUAUUACAGAAAUAUUAAUUAAAAUAAAAUCUUACACUAAAAUAUAAAAUUAUAAAUAAAAGUACAUAAUUAAAUAUUAAACUGCAAGCAAAUAUUACAUUUUCCAUAAAAUUAUUUCCAUAAUGCUCUCAUAUAUGAUCAACUAGUGCAUUUCGAAGUAAGAAAUGAUUCUCUUUAUUUUUUAUUUGUAGAUUACGAGCCAAAAAUUGUUGAAAUCAGAUAUCCUCAUAAUAUGGCUGCUGAUAGUUUGAUAUCAUCAAACGAAAAAAAUCGUUGAUCUUUUAAAAGAAAGUACAACAAGCAGGGAAAAAAGUCAUGAGAUGAUUGAAUUACGACUGCAAAAUAAAGCAAAAAAGUUAACUCUUAAAGAAGUAAAAGAGGAAAAUAAAAUAUUGCUAAAAAACUUAACUUCUAUGGAUAAUGUUAAUAUUCGUGAAUACAUUCGAUCUGAACAAGAAAGAAUCAUACGAAAAAUGCGUCAAGAGCAACAACAACAAUCAUCUUCGGUUACACAAAAUUUAUUUGAACAAUAUUUUGGAGAUUUUGGAGGUUCCGGAGCAAAUUUACCAGACUAUUAGUGUUGUUAUAAUAUUUAAAUUUGAGUAAUAAUUAUGUCUUCAUGUGUCUUUUUAAUAAGUUUUUAUUAUGGUUUUUUGUAAUAUUUUUUUUGUUUAAUUCUAGUUUUAAAAUAUUAUAAAUGUUGUUUUAAAUUUUUUUAUUUAAUUUCAUGUGUAAAAAUUAAAUUUAUAAAACAAAUUUGAAAUAUUUAUGAGAUAUAAAAGUUUUAAGGAUUAAAACAAUAUACAAAAAAAUAUUUAAGAAUUAUAAAUACAAUAUAUAAUUGUAAGGACCAAAAUGCAAAUAAAAAGAUGAAACUUCAAAUUUGAAGUUUUGAAAAGUGAAACUGUAUAUUUGGAGUUUCACUCUUCAAAACUUCAAAUUUGAAGUUUUGAAGUUCUUUUUUGGAGAGCAAAAAACUCUAUAUUUGAAGUUAUAGAGUUUCUUUUGGAGAUGUUCUUAGUGAGGAUUAACUGUUACCUUGUGAGAGCAUUUUCCCAAGUACCGCCAUUACCAUGGUUUAACAUGAUAAAGACAUCUCCUUUGUCCGAUGUGAGUUUACCUUUUCACUACAAGAAAACGUAUCUUUACCGAGGAAGUUUAACGAGGAAAAAUAAUCCUCGUAAAAAAACGUUGAUUUUGCGAGGAAAGUACGUUGAGAAAGAAAAGCAUCGUUAUUUCGUCGUAAGGUAACGACAAAAAAUAUUCGUCGUAAAGACGAUGUAAAUUGACGUGGCUUUUACGAGGAAAUAGUUUUUCCUCGUAAAAGCCACGUAAAUUUCGCGAGUGCUUUACGACGAAAUAUUUUACGUGUACUUAACGAGGAAAUUUUGAAUCCACCAACUUGGUAGGUGGCUCACGUUUUUUUUUUGGCCAUACAAUUAAUUUUCGUCGUAAUUUCAUAGUAAAAUUACAACUACCAGAUUCGAAAUUUUCUAUAAAUAUGGAUGUUGGAACAUCAUUUUAAACACACCAACAACAAAAAACGUGAAAGAAAAAAAAUGGCUGGCUCUGGGACUAUUUACGAGUUGCGGAAUUGGAUGUAUAUGCAUAGAGAUGCUAACGGGAGAGUGACGAAAGAAUACCUUGCGGGGCUGGAGACAUUUAUGCACCAAGCAGAUUCAACACCGCUCGCCCAAGAAAGUGGUAAGAUGUUCUGUCCUUGUCGGAAAUGCAACAAUUCGAAAUUGGCAAACCGUGAAAAUGUUUGGAAGCAUUUAAUAAAUAGAGGUUUCACGCCAAAUUACUAUAUCUGGUUUCAACAUGGGGAAGGUUAUAAUUAUGAUCAGAAUGAAGCUAGUAGUAGUAAUAGCAAUUUUCAGGAAGAACCGGUUAAUCAUCAUUUGCAUAAUGAACAUAGUUACCAUCAGGAGGAGAUGGUAGAUUAUGAUAGGGUUCAUGAUAUGGUAGCUGAUGCAUUCGUAGCUCAUGAUGAAGAUGAAGAACCUAAUAUAGAUGCAAAAAAGUUUUACGGAAUGUUAAACGCGGCGAAUCAACCACUUUACAGUGGUUGUAGAGAAGGUCUCUCUAAAUUGUCGUUGGCUGCUAGAAUGAUGAAUAUUAAAACUGAUCACAAUCUACCUGAAAGUUGCAUGAACGAAUGGGCGGACUUGUUUAAAGAGUAUUUGCCGGAAGACAAUGUGUCUGCUGAUUCUUAUUAUGAGAUUCAGAAAUUAGUUUAUAGUCUUGGGUUGCCUUCGGAGAUGAUAGAUGUCUGCAUCGACAACUGCAUGAUCUAUUGGGGAGAUGAUGAGAAGCUAGAAGUAUGUCGAUUCUGCAAGAAGCCACGAUUCAAGCCGCAAGGACGGGGACGUAAUAGGGUACCGUACCAAAGGAUGUGGUACCUACCAAUUACAGACAGAUUGAAAAGAUUGUAUCAAUCAGAGCAGACUGCUGCAAAGAUGAGAUGGCAUGCCGAGCAUACUCAGACGGAUGGUGAGAUGACUCAUCCAUCAGAUGCAAGAGCCUGGAAACAUUUCAACAAAGUACAUCCGGAUUUUGCUAGCAAUAGCCGGAAUGUGUAUCUCGGAUUAUGCACAGAUGGAUUUAGUCCGUUCGGAAUGUCAGGGAGACAAUAUUCAUUGUGGCCAGUCUUUCUUACGCCAUACAACCUGCCACCGGAGAUGUGCAUGCAACGGGAGUUGCUAUUCUUGACGAUAUUGAUACCUGGUCCGAACCAUCCAAAAAGGUCCCUGGAUGUUUUCCUACAACCACUGAUAAAAGAGUUGAAGGAUUUGUGGUCAACAGGGGUGAGGACGUAUGACUGUUCAACGAAGACGAAUUUUACGAUGCGAGCUAUGCUUUUGUGGACCAUAAGUGACUUUCCUGCAUAUGGGAUGUUGUCUGGAUGGACUACACAUGGGAGAUUAGCUUGUCCAUAUUGUAAUGGAACGACAGAUGCGUUUCAACUGAAGAAUGGUAGGAAGACAAGUUGGUUUGAUUGUCAUCGUCGAUUUCUUCCCAUUGGCCAUCCUUACCGAAGAAACAAGAAUUUGUUUAGGCACAAAAGGGUUGUGAGAGACACUUCUCCACCAUAUCUAACUGGAGAACAAAUUGAAGCACAAAUCGACUACUACGGAGCUAACGAAACAGUUCGUUGGGGUGGUAAUUGGCAUGUCCCUCGUAAUAUGCCUGAUUCUUACGGUGUUCAUCACAACUGGCACAAGAAGAGUAUAUUUUGGGAGUUGCCAUAUUGGAAGGAUCUUCUUCUGCGCCACAACCUCGAUGUGAUGCAUAUAGAGAAGAAUUUCUUUGAGAACAUCAUGAAUACAAUAUUGAAUGUCCCAGGGAAGACAAAAGACAACAUAAAAUCGAGGUUGGACUUGCCGGAUAUUUGCUCAAGAAGCGAGUUACAUAUUAAAAGCAAUGGACAAGUUUCCGUUCCGAUAUUCAGACUGUCUUCAGAAAAAAAGUCGGUGUUGUUCAACUGGGUGGCAUCAGAAGUGAAGUUCCCCGAUGGGUAUGUUUCAAAUCUCUCUAGAUGUGUUGAAAAGGGUCAAAAGUUCUCUGGGAUGAAGAGUCAUGAUUGUCAUGUCUUUAUGCAACGACUACUGCCCUUUGCAUUUGCGGAGCUACUUCCAACAAACGUACAUGAAGCACUUGCAGGUUCGUAGUGUUUUAUAUCACAAUAAUUUUAUAACGGUCUAGUUUGCAAAAUAAUAUACGACUAACAAUGUGUUUAAUUGUUUUUGGAAUAUAAAAGGCAUUGGAGCAUUUUUCAGGGAUCUGAGCACACGCACUCUUAAAGAAGAAGUUGUAGAACAGCUUCAGGAGAACAUUCCCAUCUUAUUGUGCAACUUGGAGAAGAUAUUUCCUCCUGGAUUUUUUGACGUCAUGGAGCAUCUAGCUGUCCACCUCCCAUAUGAAGCAUUGCUUCGUGGACCUGUACAUUACGGAUGGAUGUAUCAGUAUGAGCGAGCCAUGAAAUAUUUGAAGGGAAAAGCAAAGAACCUCGCCAAAGUUGAAGGUUCUAUAAUUGCUGGAAGUUUGACGGAAGAAGUUUCUCACUUCACAUCGUACUACUUUGCGUCAAAAGUACGUACCCGUAGAAGAGCUCCAAGAAGAUAUGAUGAUGGUGGAGUUGCGCCAACAUAUGCAGUUGCUGGUGUUCCAGACAUCUUUAGCCAGAUUGGACGACUCGGUGGGAAGUCUAAAGAGGUUUGGUGGUCGAGUGAACAAGACGCUCAUAGUGCACACACCUAUAUUCUACUCAAUUGCGAGGAUCCAUUGAUGCGUUAUUUUGAAAGGUAACAUAUAUGGACACUUCAAAACACAUAUAAUUAAUUAUAUAAUUGCAAGAGAUUCAUUCCUAUGAAAUGUGAUUAAUUUUACAGCCUAUUUGUUUCUCAAGUCGAAGAAACAUUUCCUGGUAUAUCCACAAGUGACGUAGACAAAAGGAAAGAUCAGCACUUCAUUAAGUGGUUGCGGAAUCAGGUAUUAUAACUCAAACUAUUUUUUCAUACAUGAUUUGUAUUUUAAUGUUCUCUUUAUUUUUGCAGGUUGAUUAUGACGACGAUGCAGAUUAUCCUAAGUGGUUACACGAAGUAAUUCAAUCUCCACUUGUAAAGGUCACCACAUCACAGAUGUAUUUCACACGAGGCUACACUUUUCACACAUAUGAGUAUGGUAGACAGCGGGCGACCAGUAACUAUGGAAUAUGUGUGAAAGGGGAAACAGAUUUCUACGGGAUCUUGACGGAGAUUAUUGAAGUCGAAUUUCCAGGGAUACUGAAGCUGAAAUGCGUCAUCUUCAAAUGUGAAUGGUUCGACCCCGUCGUCAACAGAGGUGUUCGGUCUAACAAAUUUGGUGUAGUUGAUGUCAACGGUGGACGUCGGUACAACAAAUUCGAGCCUUUCAUCUUAGCUUCACAAGCAGACCAAGUUAGCUUCCUUCCAUACCCUCGGAUGAGAGAUUCGGGUAUAAAUUGGUUAGCAGUGAUCAAAGUUACACCUCGAGGACGAAUCAUCAGUGGAGAAGAACCACCAUUGCAAGAAGAACAGAUAAAUGAAGUCGAGGAACCUGAACAAGAAGUUGAUGACAUCCUUCUCAUUGAUCCGCAUAAUCACGAAUACGAAGAUCUUACCGAUGAUGCCACAGACGAAGCUGUAGAAGACGAGUUUAAUGAAAAUGAUGAUAUUUCUAGUGAUGACGAGAAUGUCGAUGUAUCCGAUUGAUGUAUUUGAUUUUGUGUAGUUUGUUUUAUGAAUAAGGUAAUGUGAGAGUUUGUUUUAUGAAUAAGGUAAUGUGGGAGUUUGUUUUAUGAAUAAGAAAUUGUGGGAGUUUGUUUUAUAAAUAAGUAAAUGUGGGAAUUGUGGUUUGGAAUGAAAAUAAAGAUGGGGUUUGGAAUAUAUGAAGUAGAAGAUAAGGAAUAUGGGGUUUUGGGGUUUGGGGUUUCGGAUUUUAGGGAUUAAACGUACUGCUCGUUAAUUCCUCGUAACCUGACGUCGAAUGUACGACGUAAUCCUCGUUUAUUCCACGUAGGACAGAAUCGUCGUAAAGACCUCGUAAUGUAAAUUGACGUAAAUGCCACGUAAAGUAAAUGACGAAGGAGGCACUCGUUUAUUCCACGUAGGACAGAAUCGUCGUAAAGACCUCGUAAGGUAAAUUGACGUAAAUACCACGUAAAGUAAAUGACGAAGGAGGCACUCUUUAAUUCCACGUAGGAUGAUUUCGUCGUAAACACCUCGUAAGGCCACGAGGACUUUACGACGAAAUUAAAAAAGCGGGGCACGCUAAUUCCACGUAAGCCAAAAUCGUCGUAAAAGAGUCGUAAACUAACGACGAUAUUACGACGAAAAUAUUAAAAAUACUAAAAAAAAAAGAGAAGAAAGAUGCUUGAAUCACAUUUGGCGAGACUUACGUAAGUCUCGACCACAUGAGUUCCAAAUAUCUUCUUCUCUUCUUUUUUUUUUCCAAAUUUUCUAAAUUGGUGAAAAGCGGGACUUGCUACUUCCUCAUAGUAUAAAAACUAGAAAAAAAGAAAAAAGAAAGAUACUGGAAUUAUAUGUGGCGAGACUUAAGUCUCACCCACAUAAAUUCUAAUAUCUUCUUUUCUUCUUUUUUUUUUCAAAUAUUUCUAAUUUGAAAAGUAUUUUGGUGAGGAGUGUGAUUUGAGAUAGGGUGUGUUUUGUGAGUUUGUGUGUGUGGUUUGAGAAGGAAAGUUGUGGGUAUUUAUAGAAAAUAAAGGCUCGCUAAUUCCUCGUAACUGGUUAACUCGUUAAUUCCACGUAACCCUUUUCGUCGUAAAAACGUCGUUAACGAAAACGCGGGCCUUUGUAUUUCGUCGCUAUUUCGUCGUAACUGAAAACGCGGGCCUCUGUAAUUCCUCGUAAGUUUACGAGGAAUUACGAGGACAAGUAAUCUUAUAUAUAUCCCGAGCGAGCUCGCUCCGUCUUUCCUCUCCACUUCCUCUCCACUUCCUCCCUAAUUCGUAGCAAUGGUAAGUCUCUCUAAUUCCUCUCUAGUUUGAUUAGUUUAGGAUAGAUUAGGUGGUUAGUAUAGGGAAUUUAGAUAGGUUUACGGAUCUUAUGUUAUUUAGUGUUGAUUAGGUGGAUAAUGUUGGGAAGUAUAUGUUCACGAAAAUUUAAAAAAUUAAAUUUUUUUCUCAGGUUCGAAAAGGUAGACUUACUGCCCAUUACAGAGAGAUGUUCGGUGAGCCGGGUAGUCGUUUAGACCCGUCGUCUUCUUCAGCUCCCGGUUCUUCGGGUCAGGAGACUGUCCCCGAGACUCAGUACACUCAGAGAGUCAUUGGAUCUCCUUCUUCUAGUGCACCAUCGGUUCUUCACGUGCCUCCCCAGAUGCCUCCUCCUCCUCCUGUGCCUCCUACGAUGCCGGCACCUCCGAUGCCCGCGGGCGAGAUUCAUCCCGAUUUGAUGGUGCCUCCGAGUGCUCCUUACUCGCAGUACACCGUAGAGGACAUUCUCCGUCUGCCAGGCAGAGAAGGUUUACCAGUCAUCGACCCCGACCGACCGGACGGAACUUUAUGGUAUGUUUCAUUAUUUUUUUAUUCUUUUUAAAUUCUUUUAUAACUUUAAAAAAUAAUUUAUAUUUUAAAUUUGUAUUUUUCAGGUGGGGGAUUGACGGAUGUCUUGCAUCGGACGUAACCGAUACGAUAAAAGGUUACUUCUCCAUGGCACAUCCGAACUGGAAAAUGACGCCCCACUACGUCAGAAAGACGUGGUUCAAAAUUUACGCUGUAAGUUCUAUUAAUUAAAUAUAUAUCUUUAAAUUUUUUUAUUAUUUAUAUAUAUAUUUUUUUCUGAAAAACUAAUUAUAAAUUAUUUUUUCCAACAGCAAAAAUAUAAUUGGGCCUUGGGGAUCACUGAGAGGGUGAGAAAGAAGUUUGAAGCGAAGGCGAAAGUUCGCUUGUUGGACACGGUCUCCAACUGGAAGGGUGACUGGAUCGUGAAGGGGUAUGAGCGUGGCAAACCCGCUGAGCUCACCACGGAUGUCUGGGAUGGCCUCAUCCGAUAUUGGCGUCUUCCUGAUUCCAUUAGAAUCGCCCAGUCUUGCUCUAACUCCCGUAACACAGUCGAUGAGCACGGGAACGGGCCGAUGCUUCACACUACGGGCCAAAAACCCCACGCCGGUGUCCGUUUGGAAAUGGUAAUUAAAAAUUUAAUUAUAUUAAAUUUUUAGUAUAUUUUUAUAUAUAUUCUAAUUAACAACUUUCUUAAAUGUUUUUUUAGGCCAAAGAGACGGGAGAAUUCCCGUCUCUUAUGCAACUUUACGAGAGGACCCACAAGAACAAGGCGGGCCGAUUUAUAGAUGGCAAGUCCGAGCAAAUCUACAACGAUUUGGCUGCUCGGGUUGAAGAACGCCAGACCCAGCUGACCCAACAGUCCACCGAUGGAUUACCCGUCACCUUAUCCACACCUGAAGUGGAUAAGCUUUACGAGGAGGUAAAUUUUCUAAAAUUUUAAUUUUUUUAAAUAUUCAUUUAAUUUAACUUUAAAUUUUUACUAACAAAAUUUAUUUUUUGUUUUUAAGGUUGUCCCUAAAAAAAAGGGACGGACGUUGGGGAUUGGUUCCGUCAACGAUGUUCCGAGAGCGACAUCGUCUUAUGUUCAGCGACGGGAUGAGGAAGUCUCUCAGCUGCGUAGGGAGUCCGAAGAGCUGCGUAGAGAGUCUACUCAGCUGCGUAUAGAGUCUACUCAGCUGCGAUCUCGUAUGGGUGGACUCGAGGGCUUCUUGGACGUUGUAGCGGCCACAAAUCCGGAAUGGGCGACUUUGUUGAGGACCAUGCGACAACAAAAUCCUAUCCCAGGCCAGUCACCGACCGACGACUCACAUGCCGAGGCGGAUGUUCAGGCGAGGAGUGAUGAAUUCUACGAGGCGAUUAAUUAACGACCACCCUUAGUUCUUUUUAAUUUCGGUUAUUGUAUUAUGAAUUCAAAACUUAUUUAUAUAUAAAAUAUUUUGGUUUUGAUUUUUUUAGAAUUUUAAUUUUAUUAAUAAUUUAAAUAAUUUAAAUUAUAUUUAUAAUUAUAAUUUUUUAUAUUUCUAUAAAAUAAUGAAACGAAGUAAAUUCGUAGCUAAUUUUGCGGCUUCUUUACGUGGAAGCUUAACGUGGUUUUUACGAGGAAACAUUUACAUGGAAAUAACGUGGAAAUCUAUCAAGGUUUUUACGUUUUCUUUACGUGGAAAGCUCUCAAGGUAUUUACGUUAAUUUUACGAGUAUUUAUUUACGUGGGUUUUACGAGGAAAGCUUUUCGUGGUAUUUACGAGGAAACUUAGCGACGUCCUUACGUGGAAUCUUUACGUGGUCUUUACGACGAAAUAUCCUCCUUCGCUUUUACGACGAAAUUAUUUCCUCGCUAACUUACGACGAAUUAGCGAGGAUAUAUGCGUUACGACAAACGUAUAACGACGAAACGGGUUUCCUCGCUAAUUCGUCGUAACACUGCUUUUACGACGAAGUAACGAGGAAAACUGCCCUCGUAAAACUUGUGUUUUCUUGUAGUGUUUUUUUUUUUUUAAAUAAAAAAAAUCUUCAAGUCUUGUUUGUUAGAGUCCUGAUAUCUUGCUUGUUUAUUAACAGGUUCCAUUUUCUCAUAUUCCUAAGUCUGUCUACGAAAGAACAACAGUGGAUUGGAUCAACAAACUUCCUUUUAAGUCACACUGGAAGUUCGUAACGUGUGCACUUGAUCGACUUCACCUUGAUUGGGUAUCACAUGCCAGAGGCGAAGAACAACCUAAUAUCGAAUAUCAGGUUAUUUUUGUUUGUAUUAUUAUUCCCUUUGUUUUGUCUUCUUAUUUCAUUAUAUGUUCUACUUAGUUUGUGCUUUUGUAACAACAUUAGGUGGGGACAUUGGUUCAAUUAGCCAUGGUGUUGCGUGCUACACCUGAUUCUUUGACUUGUCUUUUGCCGAUGCUGAAGGGGAAACCUAAGUUUCAUGGCCAAGAAAACCUUCCGCUUAUCGUUUGGAUGAUGUCUCAGGCCUUCCAUGAUGAUUUACCUGCUGCCUUGUAUUCAUGGGCGCUUAACUUGCUCCCACUAGUCGUUAACGAGUGCUACAGCUCUCACUCAAUUCAUCUCAUCCUCCAAUUUGUUGAGAUGUGAGUCACAGUUUUUAAUAUUUUCUCCCUCUCUCUCUCCCUCCUCCUCCUGUCUGCUCUUGUAUCUAAUCUUUGUUUUUUUCUUUUUCUUUUCAUCAGGAUUUUGUCCUCGAAUUCAGAGGCUCGGGCUGUACUCCUAAACGAACCUGUUAGGCAUGGAGAGCGUCUGAUUCCACCUUGUUCGUUUGAGAUGUUGGUGCGGCUUACAUUCCCUGCUCCAUCCGCUAGAGUAGAGUCAACACAGAGGUUUGAGGCUAUUUAUCCCUUGUUGAAGGAAGUAGCCCUUGCACCAGAUAUUACUGCAAACGCACUGAAACGGAUAUUCACUUUUUCCUUGAAAUUAGCUGGUGGACAAGGUAUUGGUGGUAACAAAUACGAAAACCUCUCUCUCUCUCUCUCUCUCUCUCUCUCUCUUGGCUUGGUGGUUCUGUUUGAAUUCACCACCCUUUGCUUGUUUGUUUACAGGAAAUCCUGCUCUAGCCAAUGAAGCUACAGCAAUCGCCAUCAGUGUUUUGACACAAAACGUUGAUUGCUUUAAGCAAUGGGUUGUUCUCUACAAAGAGAAUCUUGAAGCUAGCGUUGCUCUUCUUAAUAAGCUUGUAGACGAAUGGAAGUAUCAUUCCCUCAAACUUUCAUCAUCUUCGAGUGAUACUCUCACUGUCAAGCAUGCUAUCAACAGCUUCAGGAUGAAGGUAAUAAUAAUGCCUCUCUUAGAAUAUUCUAAGCUUCUAUUAACUCUCUGACCUCACCUGCUAUAAUAUUAUUAUUUGUCUGUAGAACGAAAAAGCCAUCACUGAAGAUGUAGCCAAUCCUUCUCUUUACAAAGAAGCUGACCAGGCGUGCAAACUGAUCUCAAGUAGACUCUCCCGUGGCAUCGGAAUAGCACCCUUAACCGCUAUGGUUAUAGCAGGGGUUGUUGGAGCCGGAGCCGCACAUGCUCUAAUCUAUCUUGCCAGGAGCAAAAAGUCCUUCUCUUAAUAGAUGUUUAUCAGAAUAUUACUUGUUGGCUUCUUUUAAUCCCUUUCUUUGAAGCUAUUAUGAUAUAUAUAUAUUUUAUUGUAAAAUAUUGUUAUUUAAGUUCGCACCUACUCACGAUUAUUAUUCAAGUAGAUUUAACUCACGAUUACUACUCAAGUAAUUUAAGGGUAUUUGUGUUGUAUAACCACUAAAAAUUUAUCAUCAUGUAAUUAGCUUAAAAAAAUUUGACCAAGAUAUUUAAUGUAUUUUCUACAAUAUACCAAAGUAUCUUUCAAUAGAAUCAUUUCAUUUCUUCUCUUUCUUCUCUUUCUUCUCUUUCUUCUCUGUAAUUAACAUUUACUUUUUAUCUAGUUGUGUAAAUAUUUGUCCAAAAAAAUUAGUUGUGUAAAUAUUAUAAAUAUAUAUUAUUGUUUAUAUUUGGAUUUAGUGAUUGAGAUUUGUAUUAUUUAUGAGUUGGAGAAAUGUUUAGUAUUAGGAAUUGUAAGUGAGUUUUAAUCAUAUAAUAAUUCGACCAAAAGGAAUAGAACACUCAAUGUAUCUAUUUAGAUAGUAUAGUAUAAUAUUAUAAAAUAUUGUAUUUUCUUAAUUUUUUUUCAGUUGUGUAAAUAUUAUAAACAUAUAUUACUUUUUAUAUUUGGAUCUAGUGAUUGAAAUUUAAAGUUUAGUAUUUAUGGUUUGGGGUAAUGUUUAGUAUUAGGGGUUAUAGAUAGGUUAUAAUCACUAUUUCGGUAAUAUGGAAUAAAACAUUUGAUGCAUAUAUGUGUGGUCAAUAAAUAUGUGACGUGGAUGGUUUCUCCUUUUUUUCUUAUCUAUUUAUAUAGUGUAGUAUAAUAUUACUAAAUAUUUUUGUAAAAAUAUUAUAAAUAUAUAUAUUAUAGUUUAUAUUUGGGUUUGAAUUUAGUGAUUGAAAUUUUGGGGUUUAGUAUUUAUAAAUAGAGGUAAUGUUAAGUAUUAAGGGUUAUGGGUAAUAUUAUAAACUUAUAAUAUUUCGGUCAUAUAGAAUAGAACACUCAGUAUAUAUGUAUGUGGUCAAUAAACAUGUGAUGAUGAUGACUCCUCUUUCUUUUCUAUUAUACACAUUGACUGAAAACUUGUUAAAAUGAGGAGAAAAACAGGUUGGAAAGCGGUUUAAAUGUAUGAAAUUAUAUUAUGUCAAUAUCAAUGAUGGUUACCUACACUGCCAUCUAAAUUCAUCCUUAGCAAAUCAAUGAUCUAUACAUAGCUGUUCCUCCUCUCAUGAUGCACAGAGAUUAUUCUCUCUGAAACUAUUGAUUCCACAUGUGUCCUGUCCCCCAUCUACUACAAUCUAAAUCUGUUUGCGAGUUGAAGUCUCUCUUUGAUAACUUUCUUGCACCAAUAGGAAAUAUGAUAAGAAAUAAUACAAGAGCGUUCAUUAUUUCAUUGUUCGGAAAAGAUGUAGUUUUAUUUUGAUCUAAGUUGAAGUUUUAUUAUUCCACACCCAUCAUUACUGAACUUUAGUUUAUACCAUUACUCAGUUUGUGGUACUAGUCUCGCUACUAAUUACAAUUGGACUUCUGACUUUAUACUUAGCAUUAGACCAAGUAAGAGCCCCAAAUACAUCUUUCUUAAGUGAGCCAUCACCAGCAGAGACUGUCACCUGGUAUGUCAACUUCUCACCAUCUUUUGUAAACUGGAGUUUCUCUGGCGUCACCUGAAUACUAAACCCUGGUGGUGUCUCCAAGCUGACUGUGUAAACAGCCACACCGUCUCCACCAACAUUAGUCGCUGUCCUGCUCACCGUCUUGUUCUCAUUCCCCUUGUAUCCGGAGAUUCCAAUUGAUGGAUAAUUAACGGUUGAGAUCA